AUCGACGUGGUGGAAUUGGCAGACACACAUGGCUUAGAACCAUGCGCAGUAAUGCAUGCGAGUUCAAGUCUCGCCGUCGAUA
Molecule: transfer RNA, 82 nt
Filed under: Catonella sp.
Lineage: Bacteria; Bacillati; Bacillota; Clostridia; Lachnospirales; Lachnospiraceae
Description: tRNA-Leu
Rfam family: tRNA
About the family: Transfer RNA (tRNA) molecules are approximately 80 nucleotides in length. Their secondary structure includes four short double-helical elements and three loops (D, anti-codon, and T loops).
Source: RNAcentral